RNAcentral lists this ribosomal RNA (303 nucleotides) under uncultured bacterium. RNAcentral's name for it is "partial 16S ribosomal RNA". It matches the Rfam family "Bacterial small subunit ribosomal RNA", at positions 510 to 809 of the family's 1533-position model. The record is from RNAcentral.
AGCAGUCCGCGGUAAUACGGAGGGCGCGAGCGUUACCCGGAUUUACUGGGCGUAAAGGGCGUGUAGGCGGCCUGGGGCGUCCCAUGUGAAAGGCCACGGCUCAACCGUGGGGGAGCGUGGGAUACGCUCAGGCUAGAGGGUGGGAGAGGGUGGUGGAAUUCCCGGAGUAGCGGUGAAAUGCGCAGAUACCGGGAGGAACGCCGAUGGCGAAGGCAGCCACCUGGUCCACUUCUGACGCUGAGGCGCGAAAGCGUGGGGAGCAAACCGGAUUAGAUACCCCGGUAGUCCCUGUCUCUUAUACAC